CCUGGAGGGAGACGGAGGCUGGCGGGAGGGCUGGGGGAAGGGAUCCCGGCCUGGCACAACUGCUGACUAAUCGGCAGGCGGGAUCACGCGCCUGUGUGUGCGCGCAGCGGGCUCGGGGCACCUAGAAAACUCAGGCCCAAGAAAUUGAGUACUUCCCCUAGAGUUACAAAGCUGAAUCCGACCCAGACCCCGGGACUCCCCUCUCUGUGCUCCACCCGGAAGCUUCUCCACUGUCCUUGAUUUCCCAUUCUGUCCUCCUGGCUUCCCAGUAAGAGUCACUGACACGGUGGACAAACACAGACAAACAUUAGCAUGGCAUGGCGGGCGAGGACUCUGAAGAAACCAGGGUCCAUGUGGGAGAAGUAGGCGUGUCACGCCUUUCUGAGGAUGGGCGUGGUUUCACCGCUGAAGCUUAUGGCUGGCGGCAGGAAUGGAAGGGAGCGGGGAGCCGGAUGUGUAGCCGCCAGUUUCCCAUUUGAUGUAAAAUCACCUCCUUCAGAUAUGGUUGGAGGAGUGUUACCGGCUUGCCUAUGAUGUAUGAGACCCUAGUUUCCAUUCCUAUCGCCAAGAAAGAGAAGAGACUGGUCCAGAGGACUCGAGGCCCAGUUCUGUAUGUCCAUGGACCUGUCCCUUAGUGCCCAGGGAUGGAAUGGUUGUGAGAAGGUGCAAGAGGAAGCUUCAUUUUAGGUGACCCUGCCUCCAGUACUGGGAAACAAAUCCAGCUGCCUAUGUAUGGCUAGCAUCCAGCCUCAGGACCACCUUUGACCACCAUCAACAAAGCUAUGCAUGCCUGGGACCCCCCUGCCUCACUGUCCCGGGCACUACCCCUCGCUUCCUCGGUCCUGAUGCUGCUGCUGAGCUGCCUGUGGUUGCUGGGGGCUGGCCCCAGCCUCAGGUUGGCUCCAGAGCUGCUAACGGAACCCUGGCAGGGCCUGCCACCCCUAGACCUCCUUACCUGGCUUCCUCAAGCUCCUGGCCUCACACUGAUGGCUUUGCUCAG
Molecule: long non-coding RNA, 1000 nt
Filed under: Rattus norvegicus (Norway rat)
Lineage: Eukaryota; Metazoa; Chordata; Mammalia; Rodentia; Muridae
Description: long non-coding RNA NONRATT009543
Source: RNAcentral